GGGGAUAUAGCUCAGUUGGUAGAGUGCUUGCCUUGCAUGCAUUAAGCCCUGGGUUCAAACCUCAGCACCACCA
Molecule: non-coding RNA, 73 nt
Organism: Ictidomys tridecemlineatus (thirteen-lined ground squirrel)
Lineage: Eukaryota; Metazoa; Chordata; Mammalia; Rodentia; Sciuridae
Source: Rfam